UUGGUUUCUAUAUUUUAAGUUCUGUCAUUUUUUAACAAAGUAAAAUUACAGUGUGAAAAUGCUAUAUCUUAUGUUAACCCUUCAUAAAUGGAGGAGUGUGUUCUCACAUACUCUUUGUUUGUCUUUUUCGACUUUCUGACACCAACCUGCUUUCACGUAGUUGUCUUUCUAAUUGAAUUGGAUAGUUCACAUUGAGAAACCUUUAACUCACUUUUUUGGCUUGCUUUUGCUUUGUCUCGACAACUUUAGAGUUUUUAAAAUCUCUAUUUUCUAUCUGUUUUGUGGAUGUGACCUCCUUUUCUUUUGAAUUUAUUAUAUUUAUAGUUAUGAAAUGAUUUUGUGGUCGGAAAAUGUCGGUUAUUUCACCUAUAGGUGAUCAUGGUUAAUGCAGCUCCCUUUCUAUGGGUUUCAUUGUCAUGCCACUCUUGGUCCUUAUUGAAAUCUUUGGAAAGGUUGACAUUAGAGCAAAGGAAGCAUGGUUUAAGCUAAGUGGUCAUCGACUGAUGUAGUCGAAGUGGGCGUAUCAUACGACACUAUUGAAGUUGUUAUCAACAAAAGAGUUCGCCCGACGAACUUAUCUUGGACUUGUUUCAUAGCGGCGAACAUGUCUCAGAUUGUCUUCCGAAUAUGCCUAAUAGGUUUUAGGAGAUUGUUUUUUAAAAUGUAAAUUAGCACUCGUUGUUUGUAGAAUUUCAGCAUUCUUUGUAUGACAUGAAAGAUUGUACUUGUAUUUUACCUAAAGCAGUAAAGAUUGUUAUUCGUUUUAUGUCCAAAGAAGUAAAAU
Molecule: non-coding RNA, 784 nt
Organism: Sesamum indicum (sesame)
Lineage: Eukaryota; Viridiplantae; Streptophyta; Magnoliopsida; Lamiales; Pedaliaceae
Source: RefSeq, a predicted model, not a curated record